GAUGAACGCUGGCGGCGUGCCUAAUACAUGCAAGUCGAGCGAACGGACGAGAAGCUUGCUUCUCUGAUGUUAGCGGCGGACGGGUGAGUAACACGUGGAUAACCUACCUAUAAGACUGGGAUAACUUCGGGAAACCGGAGCUAAUACCGGAUGAUAUUGUGAACCGCAUGGUUCAAAAGUGAAAGACGGUCUUGCUGUCACGUAUAGAUGGAUCCGCGCUGCAUUAGCUAGUUGGUAAGGUAACGGCUUACCAAGGCAACGAUGCAUAGCCGACCUGAGAGGGUGACCGGCCACACUGGAACUGAGACACGGCCCAGACUCCUACGGGAGGCAGCAGUAGGGAAUCUUCCGCAAUGGGCGCAAGCCUGACGGAGCAACGCCGCGUGCGUGAUGAAGGUCUUCGGAUCGUAAACCUCUGUUAUUAGGGAAGAACAUAUGUGUAAGUAACUGUGCACAUCUUGACGGUACCUAACCAGAAAGCCACGGCUAACUACGUG
Molecule: ribosomal RNA, 497 nt
Filed under: uncultured bacterium
Lineage: Bacteria
Description: partial 16S ribosomal RNA
Rfam family: Bacterial small subunit ribosomal RNA
Source: RNAcentral